Molecule: long non-coding RNA, 496 nt
Filed under: Spirodela polyrhiza (greater duckweed)
Lineage: Eukaryota; Viridiplantae; Streptophyta; Magnoliopsida; Alismatales; Araceae
Description: long non-coding RNA (SPOL_LNC002279)
Source: RNAcentral
UUCAUAGACAGCAGGCGGAGGUGGGGACUGGCGCGCCGCAGGGUGAGUUGACCUGGUUGGGGAGUCGUCAUGGGUGAUGGAAGACGAGGCGGCUUCCAGCCCGGCGGCGACGACUUGGCAGCACUGGGUGAUACUGCAAGGAGACAAGAGACCGGCGACCCAGUUGCCGGAGCCCAGAAACUUCCAGUGCGGAGAAGGGAGAAUGUGAGAAACGCCAGGAGGAGCACCAUCCAGACGGAGGGGAGGGAACGAGGAAGAGAGAGAGAGAGAAGAGAGAGAGAGAGAGAGAGAGAGAGAGAGAGAGAGUANNNNNNNNNNNNNNNNNNNNGAGGGAGGGAGGAGGAGAGAGAGAGAGAGAGAGAGAGAGAGAGAGAGAGAGAGAGAGAGAGAGAGAGUAUCCACGACCUCCCAUUUUUCGGCGGCUGAUGAAGCCCAUGAAACGGUGAUCAAGGCAUGCAUACUAAUGAAGUAACCUAUCUACAUGACAACGAGACAG